RNAcentral lists this ribosomal RNA (459 nucleotides) under uncultured bacterium. RNAcentral describes it as "partial 16S ribosomal RNA". It matches the Rfam family "Bacterial small subunit ribosomal RNA", at positions 338 to 795 of the family's 1533-position model. The record is from RNAcentral.
CCUACGGGAGGCAGCAGUGAGGAAUAUUGGUCAAUGGUCGGGAGACUGAACCAGCCAAGCCGCGUGAGGGAGGAAGGUACAGAGUAUCGUAAACCUCUUUUGUCAGGGAACAAAGACUGGGACGCGUCCCCGGAUGAGUGUACCUGAAGAAAAAGCAUCGGCUAACUCCGUGCCAGCAGCCGCGGUACUACGGAGGAUGCGAGCGUUAUCCGGUUUGAUUGGGUUUAAAGGGUGAGCAGAGGGGCUGUUAAGUGAGGGGUCAAAGCCCGGGGCACAACCCCGGCCCGCCGUGGAAACUGGCAGUCUCGAGUUGGAGAGAAGUAUGCGGAAUGCGCGGUGUAGCGGUGAAAUGCAUAGAUAUCGCGCAGAACUCCGAUUGCGAAGGCAGCAUGCCGGCUCCACACUGACGCUGAGGCACGAAAGCGUGGGGAGCAAACAGGAUUAGAUACCCCGGUAGUC